This 568-nucleotide small RNA is filed under the name Pongo abelii (Sumatran orangutan). RNAcentral describes it as "retained intron". The record is from RNAcentral. Lineage: Eukaryota; Metazoa; Chordata; Mammalia; Primates; Hominidae.
GAUUUCAUCUUCUUCCUCCUUGCAGCUCAUACCAUGGGUCCAAAACGAUGAAGGAUUUUGUGAGGAGGAGGUGCUGGGCCAGAAAAUGCAAGCUGGUGACCAGUGGGCCCUGGCUGGAGGUGCCCCCCAUCGCCCUUAGGGACGUGUCCAUCAUCCCGGAGAGCCCGGGUGCCGAGGGGAGCGGGCACAGCAUCGCCCUCUGGGCCGUCAGCGACAAGGGGGAUGUGCUGUGCCGCCUGGGCGUGUCGGAGCUCAACCCUGCGGGCUCCUCCUGGCUGCACGUUGGCACCGACCAGCCCUUCACCUCCAUCUCCAUCGGGGCCUGCUACCAGGUGUGGGCCGUGGCAAGGGACGGCUCCACCUUCUACCGGGGCUCUGUGUACCCCUCGCAGCCAGCCGGUGACUGCUGGUACCACAUCCCGUCCCCGCCGAGACAGAGGCUGAAGCAGGUGUCCGUGGGGCAGACGUCCGUGUACGCCCUGGAUGAGAAUGGAAACCUGUGGUAUCGCCAAGGGAUCACGCCCAGCUACCCGCAGGGCUCCAGCUGGGAGCACGUGUCCAACAACGU